GAUUGAUAGUUACCUGGGUAGUUACAUACAUGACGGGCACAAGAAGGUAACUAUCAAUGUAACUAUCCAUGUAACUAGCCAUCUAUGUAACUAUCUAUGUAACUAUCCUGUAACUAUCUAUCCAUGUAACUAUGCAUGUAACUAGCCAUCUAUGUAACUAUCUAUGUAACUAUCCUGUAACUAUCUAUCCAUGUAACUAUGCAUGUAACUAUCUAUGUAACUAUGUAACUAGCAAUGUAACUAUGUAUGUAAUUAUCCAUCUAUGUAACUAUCUAUGUAACUAUGCAUGUAAGUAUCAAUGUAACUGUCUAUGUAACUGUCUAUGUAACUAUCCAUGUAACUACAGAUUGAUAGUUACCUGGGUAGUUACGUACAUACAUACACUUGUGUACCUGCCUAUGUAACUAUGCAUAUAACUAUCCAUCCAUGUAACUAUCUUGUAACUAUCCAUCCAUGUAACUAUACAUGUAAUUAUGCAUGUAACUAUCUAUGUAACUAUAACUAUGUAUGUAACUAUCCAUGUAACUAUGCAUGUAACUGUCUAUGUAACUAUCCAUGUAACUAUGCAUGUAAUUAUCAAUGUAACUAUCCAUGUACCUAUGCAUAUAACUAUGUAUGUAACUAUCAAUGUAAUUAUCCAUAUAACUAUGCAUGUAACUAUUGAUAUAACUACAGAUUGAUAGUUGUCUGGGUAGUUACAUGUAUGCUACACUUGUGUACUUGCCUAUGUAACGAUCCAUCUAUGUAACUAUCCAUGUAACUAUAGAUUGCUAGUUACCUGGGUAGUUACAUUGCUAGUUACAUGGAUUUUAAUAGAUUUCUGUUCUAAUACGCAGCGGGACGUUGCCAUUGCGGUGCAGCGGGACGCUGCCGUUGUGGUGCAGCGGCACGCUGCAAUUAUUAUUAUGUAAAUGACUUGUGUACCUACAUUAAGCUACUUAUCUAACUAUCAAUAUAACUAUUCAUGUAUCUAUCCAUGUAACUAUGCAUGUAACUAUCCAUCUAUGUAACUAUGCAUGUAACUAUCCAUGUAACUACCGACUGAUAGUUACAUGUGUAGCUUCAUACAUUCUACAUAACAAGCUACACUUCUUCUUUUUUCUCACACAGAACGCAGAAUAUGGCAAAGUAAAGCAAUCUGUAUUAAUUGUAAAUCAUCAAAUUAAGAAUACCUAGGAAACAAUUUAGUGCUAACACAACUCUUAGAACUCUGGCUUUCCUCAUUCAUCGUUUAAUCCAAAAUUCAUUACAAAAUAGAGUAGGAAGGAAGGAACCAUUAUUGUCACCAUGCUUUAGUGUCACUUAACAUUGAUUUCAGUAUGACUUUAUCACUACCUUUCCUCAAUGCAAUCUGCAUAAGUAUAAAACAUUAUGAAGUUGUUUGGGUGUUGAAAAUGAAGAACCCAAAAACAG
Molecule: long non-coding RNA, 1413 nt
Filed under: Fragaria vesca (wild strawberry)
Lineage: Eukaryota; Viridiplantae; Streptophyta; Magnoliopsida; Rosales; Rosaceae
Description: long non-coding RNA (FVES_LNC000319)
Source: RNAcentral